Rhodotorula sp. CCFEE 5036 is the source of this 84-nucleotide non-coding RNA. Lineage: Eukaryota; Fungi; Basidiomycota; Microbotryomycetes; Sporidiobolales; Sporidiobolaceae. The record is from the annotation of a GenBank genome assembly.
GCCCCCGUGGCCUAGUGGUUAAGGUAUCUGCCUUCUAGUUGCUAUGUUAGCAGAUGAUCGCGGGUUCGACCCCCGCCGGAGGCU